Molecule: RNA transcript, 2696 nt
Organism: Lepidothrix coronata (blue-crowned manakin)
Lineage: Eukaryota; Metazoa; Chordata; Aves; Passeriformes; Pipridae
Gene: VRK1
Gene name: vaccinia related kinase 1
Exons: 14
Source: RefSeq, a predicted model, not a curated record
GGCCGGCGGGACCGCGGGCAGUGCGGGAAUUUCGGACCGGGAGGAGGGAGCGGCGCCGGGCUCGGCGCGCGGGAGAUACUUGGGACCGGCGGCUGCUUCUGCGGUGGAAAAUGCCAUAUAAUAAGAAGACUGCUGGAAAAAGAGUCCCUGCAAAAAGGAAACUUGCUGAAGUGUUUGCUCUGGGGGAGGUUCUAGCAGAUACAUCAAGAAAAGAAUGGAAAUUAGGUGUCCCUAUAGGGCAGGGAGGCUUUGGACGCCUAUACCUUGCUGAUGUUAAUUCUUCAAAGUCGGUUGGCAGUGAUGCCCCUUAUGUUGCAAAAGUGGAACCCAGCCAGAAUGGACCUCUUUUUACUGAGUUAAAGUUCUACAUGCGAGCUGCUAAGCCAGAUGAAAUUCAGAAGUGGACUAAGUCCCAUAAACUGAAAUAUUUAGGUGUACCAAGAUAUUGGGGUUCUGGCUUGCAUGAAAAAAAUGGAAACAGUUAUCGAUUUAUGAUAAUGGACCGAUUUGGCAGAGAUCUUCAGAAGAUGUAUGAAGAGAAUGCAAAGCAAUUUUCCCGUAAAACUGUACUACAAUUAGGCCUGAGAAUACUUGAUAUUCUGGAAUACGUCCAUGAGCAUGAAUAUGUGCAUGGAGACAUCAAGGCCGCAAACCUCCUUCUGAGUUACAAGAACCCUAAUCAGGUGUACUUGGUGGAUUAUGGACUUGCCUACCGAUACUGCCCUGAAGGAGUUCACAAAGUAUAUAAGGAAGAUCCAAAAAGGUGUCAUGAUGGAACUAUUGAAUAUACCAGUAUUGAUGCACAUAAGGGUGUGGCACCAUCAAGACGUGGUGAUCUGGAGAUCUUGGGUUACUGCAUGAUUCAUUGGCUUAGUGGCCAUCUACCGUGGGAAGAUAAUUUGAAAGAUCCAAAUUUUGUCAGAGACUCAAAAAUCAGAUGUAGAGAUAAUAUUUCUGUUUUAAUGGACAAAUGUUUUCCUGAGAAAAAUAAACCAGAUGAAAUAGCCAAAUAUAUGGAAAAGGUGAAGCUACUGAGCUAUGAAGAGAAACCUGUUUAUCAGCAUUUCCGAGAAAUACUUCUGCAAGGUCUCAAAGCCAUUGGGCAAAAAGAUGAUGGAGUACUUGACUUCGGCUUGUCAGAGAAUGGAGACUUUCAAACAAAUCCUGUACAAAAGAAAAGAAGAAAGGCAGCAGCUGCAGCCAGUGAGAGCACUGAGGCAGAUAUGGAAGAUACAGGAAGUCCAAAAAAAAAGAAAGCUACUUCUUCUAUUCACUGUUAGAAAAUGCUGACUCUUCAGGAUUCCUCAUCACAGCGUGUUAAAGCCAAGGGCUAGCAGCAGCGGCUUCCAAAAGCAAGCGUGUUUGAAGUCGAGGAAAGGAUCAGCUAUGCAGUAGCUACCAGAACCCGGAAGAUGACCUCACCAAAAUCCAAGAAAAGCACGGCAACCAGAAAGAGAGUCCAGAAGUAAAUAAUAGAUGGAGCGACAAAUUAAGUUGCUCUGUGGCUCAUUUCUGGUUGGUUUUUUUUUUGUAGCACUGGAAUCUUUUUCUUUCCUUUUUAAAUGAUGAAUCCUGUAAAAACAUGGACUGCUGUUUGUACCUGUUUUUGAAGAAUAAAUGUUUUAUUAAAAUAUUUGCAUAAUUUAUGUAUAGUUAAAUACUAAUGCAAAAUUUUGCCAACUUUUGAAGUGGGGAUUCAUUUUUAUUCUUUAUAUAAUGAAUUCUUGUCUUAAAGGCAAACUAAAAGAAAGUGCUUUUUUCUGCUUUAUAAUGUAGAGAUAAAGCCUUAUUUAAUAGUUUCAUUACGGGUACUAUAUGGGGAACAGCAGUGUUGCAUCUGAUUUCUCCUACUUUUGAGUAAAGUCUUAUUGGAGGUUACUUAGAUGUACACUGAGAUGAAGUGUGCAACAGCAGAAAUAUCUUUUAAAUGUUUCUCAAGUGUUUGAAUAAAAAACAGAACAUAAAACAGACAUCACAUCCUUCCAUUCUAGUUUGUAUAAAAAGCAUUUAAACAAUUCUUUGGAAGACAGGUAGUGAAUUUUAGCUAUUUUUUUGCAUACUAUUUGUGUUCGUAUCACUUUUCUAAUUAUUCAGAGUUUCUCUGGAAAGAAAUAGACCAGACACAGGGCCCAGGGCAAAGAAAAGAACCAACCAAAAACCAAUGCUUAUUCUCAACAGCCCCCUCAGGUUUUCUUUUUAUAUUAGUGAAAAGGCUAGAAAAGUUGUAACUGUGAAGAACUUUACACAGUGUCUAGUUCCAAUGAAAUAUUGACUCACAUCUGCUUCUCAUAACAACAUAAUGGUUUACCUUUUUUAAUAGUUGAGGAGCAUAUAAUCUUCCAUAUCUUUUGUGAAAGUACUUCCUUGCUUAGCUUUGAGUCUUCAGAGUUGUAAGUCAAAAAAUAGUGUUGAAUUUCAGUGUGAAAUACCGCUACUUUUCAUUUAGAUACUGCAAAAUGCACAUAAUUAAGGCAUGAGCAUCAUUCUUAUCAGGGAGACUACUUUAUGAAAGUUUGGUAAACCAAAAGGAAUCCAUAUGAGCCAAUGAACAUUGUAUUUGUGUGGAUGUCCAGCUUGCUUGAUUGUAUAAUGUCUGGGUAGCUACUCACUAGAAUAAGUAUGUUUUAGCAUGAAAUGUUGAAUGAAUAUGUUUUGUAACAAGGGAAUCAAUUUUUUUGAAAUAAAACUGGAAUACC